CAGACCCUGUCUGACAGACACAACAAAUGAGAAUUUACUUGAAUAGACCCGAGCUGACAAGAAACUCCCUUGUUUUCUUUAAAAAUAUAUAUAUUUUAGUGUGUGUGUUUGUGUGUGGUGUUUGAUGGGGGUGGGGAAUGUCUGUCGGCAACUUCUCGUGUUUAUGCCCCUAUUAUGAGGCUUUUAAUUGCCGAACUUUUCUCCCCUCUUUCAAAGAGCGCUCAUAUUUUUUCUUCCACAGACAAGAACUCCAGACCUUGACUGCGGUUCGUCUUAUGUUGUUGUGACCAGCCGAGAAGCUGAAAACUCGCACUUGGCGCUUUUCAGUCGCUUUGUUUGUCUUUUUUUGCUGUUUACAGUUUUUUUUACCCCGUUUGUAUGUACUUAAUUGUUUAUUCACUCUGAGUUCGCCCGGUUCUCCCUCUCCCCGGCUCUCUUCACGGUCAAAUGGAGAAACCAGAACUGAAAACGGGAAAAGAACCAACCCUCCCAUUCCUUCUUAUUUUUAUUUUUAGAAACGAGAAAUCUGCAAACUCCCGACUGACACUUAUGACACCCCCCUCUCUCUCGCCCAUAGGCCCCCUCCUCCUGGAGAAAGUGUGUGAGCAGUAGGAGAGACAGAUUCCUAUGACGGGAAGCGCGGCUCUGCCGUUCUCCCCUCGCCAGCCCGAGUCGGUGAAAUAAAAGACAGGCCGGAUUUUCCCGCCACCGCCAGCCAUUCAUUCCUGUGGCGGGAACAGCUUCUCACUCUCCACCUCGGAGCAAGCAGGCAUUUCAUUUUUAAAAAACCCAAAAAGAAAGGAUUUUCUUCAGCUUUUGCUUUUUUCUCUCUUUCACCCAUCCCCCUCUUCUAUACGAUAUACACGUAGCAGGAACCGAAGCUCAGUGAAAUAUCUUGGAGAUGCUUGACUGAAGGAUUUUCCAAGCGUCUGCUUUUUUUUAACAGUACGCUCGGUGUAUUAGCGAGGUCACGUCUGCUUACGUCACGUUAAGUGUACGUCUGGCAACACCUCAAUGAAAUUAUUAGCAACAAGGAAAAUAUGCAAAUUGGCACUUUAUUGUGGGACUGCAACUGAAUUGAAAGCGUCUUCUUAUUUUUCAUUUUUCAAAAAAUCUCUCUCUGGGCUAUAUGUCUGUAUUUUUCAAUUAGAAGACUAUAAAACUUGAGUGUGCUGGAUUUUUUAUGUAUAAAGGGAGACUGGAAAAAAUAUCCCUGCGUAAUAACGCCGCUGAUGCGCCAUCACCCCUGCUGUUGGCUGUACGUGUGCGUUAUUUUUAAUAUGUAUAUCUCUAAAUGCAUCUUGUACAAUAAAUGAGCCUCAACUCAUAAUCCACAAUACGUCUGAUAAUCUUGCCCUUCUGAUUAUACAAGGACGAUUCAGAUUAAGAGAUGAUAUGUUAAAGGCAAACGUUACAUUUUUUAGAGAUUGGACCAAAUUUCAAGCAAUGCAUUGCCAAAUGAAGAACGUAUUGGAAAGAAGUAUUCACUUUGCUGGGGGAACAUCGUUGUGGAAACGUGUGCAGA
This is a long non-coding RNA of Stegostoma tigrinum, 1525 nucleotides long. RefSeq lists it as uncharacterized. The transcript is spliced from 3 exons. Lineage: Eukaryota; Metazoa; Chordata; Chondrichthyes; Orectolobiformes; Stegostomatidae. The record is from RefSeq and is a predicted model, not a curated record.